GAGGCGCUGCUUCUUUUUCAAUGAGACAGAAAGAUCAAUAGCUUUGUCCCAUAGUCCUUGACGGAAUUUAACCAUUUUAACUCAGAAACCAUUUUCACCUGCAGAAUCCAAUUCUCCAGAUUUGCUUCGGCCAAGGGCAGGCUGCCAUACAGCAUAGCUACCCCUUGCAUCUCUAUGACUUGUAGCCCUGAGACUCCUUGGUCAAACAUUGUCAUUUAACCUCCAUAACAACUGUAUAAAGUAGGUAGGGCAGCUGUGACUGUCCCUAUUGCUUAAGGAAUGCAGCUGAUCUUUUGAGAAGCUGUGUGACUUUCCUGGGUCACAUAACAUUUUGGAUUUUAUGCUAUGUCAGAGAUGCUGGGUUUAUGGGUUAUAUUAGACACCUCACAUAUUUCCCAACAUGCAUCUAUCUGAGCAGCAGUGACUCUGCCCUCUCUGCUGGGCUCCUUCAAACUGGAAAAGCAUUUCAGCAUCUUCAUCAGACAAAACUAAGUGAAGAGGUUUUCAAAGAAGAUUACAGAAGGCCUUCUCAAGCAGGCCUGCCUGGUGAAAUUAUAAGCAUCUGGUUAGUCAAAACCUGAAGACAUUUAAGUAAGAAGUCCCCAGGCACACAGUGAUGGUGCCCACAGCCUCCAGGUGGAUGGAAACGGAAUAACGGUCUUCAGUUGCCAAGGUUGGACGCUGCCAGGAGUUCUUAUGCUCUCUACAGACCACAAGACAGUGUUUAGUGCUCCUGCUUCACAGCUGAGGGAAGAAACUACAUUUAUGCAGGAAUUGAACACAGGCUCCUGCCAUUGAGCAAAACUGUCUCUAGACAGAGAGGAAAGAACACAGUUUUGGACUACAGAGAAAUCUGGAACAUGGGAAUGGCUCAUUGGUCAGUCCAAGGACAGCUUUUUUUUAGCUUUUUACCUGCUGCUCCUGAUUGAUACCCCAUGAUCUGUGAAUGCAAUAUGUCCACAAUUUCUCUUACAGAUACUGGGAAAUAUAUAAGUAAAACUUAGAGAGGAAGAAAGUUAAAAAGGUAAUGGAGGUUGCAGGAGACCCAGCACCAAAGUUUCCCUGUAUGAAUGCACAUGUGUGCACCCCACACACAGGUACACGUGUGCGCUGCUCCUCUUCCAUGGUCUCACCUCUGUGGCUUUAAAGAAUAGCAGAAGGGAAGGAAGAGAAUGGGGGAAAAGAAUUAAGACAUGUACAGGCACAAAUCCCCUAUCAUGAAUGUGAUCAUUAUGCAUGGAAAAAAUAUACAAAAAUUUUAAAAACAAUGAAGGGAGCAGGACCUCUGUACAUCAGCGAGUGCUGCCAUAACAGCUUCAACCACCAGGGCCUCAUCACUUACAGGGCAGCGUCUCAGCUCCUGUCCAUCUCCCACCCAGCUGCUCCUCAGCCCCAGCUCUCCUCCCUCUUUCUCUCCUGUUCUUGUGGCUUACUUAGUUCAUGCUUCCCCAAGGCGAACUCUACUUCCUUUCUCCUGUUUGGUCUGUGUCAGCUCCUGUAGAUGUCCACUUUGGUUUCCUCUUCUGGUAUUUGAGUGUCCACUAUGUUGCUAUCAUCUGGGUUAUUAAGAAUCUAUAUCCAACAAGGACGACCAGGACAGGGAGAGCAGCUACCAGUUUUCCCACAAUGGACACAGAAAUGCCAAUACUUGGCCUCUAAGGCUCGCUCACAUUCCCAGCUCUGCCACAUGGAUGGGUACUGCACUUCCUGGGUCUGGUUUGCUACUGUGAUAGGUUCAAGGAUCCUUUCCUCAAAGUGCUGGGAGAAGUUAAUCAGAUAGUGGUAUGAAACACCAACAAGUAACAAUUUUUGAAAAAGUUCUAACUGUAUUGUUAUUGUGAUUAUGUGACUUGUUCAUCACCUCUCAUGUGACAGAAGUCUUCUUUCAUGUCCUACUCUUCCCACUGACAGUCUUUCAAAAAAAUAUACACUUCCUUAGAAAGUAGAUUCUGUUACCCCAAUUCAUAAGUAAAAAGACAAGGUCAUAGAUGGAUUUUAUAAGUUUCCCAAUGUCAUACCAUUUGGAAGAAAAGUAACUGGGAUUAAUGAGCUCACCAUGACUCCUCGAGGAAACAGUUACAGGGUGCUUUCAGAGGCACACACUUUGCUAGGGGCUGAGCAGUAGCGAUGAUCAGACACAGGCCUGAAAGCAGGGUGCAGUUAAAUGAAGAAACAGGCAAGUAAUAGAUAACUCCAGAAUAGCAGGAUAAAGGCAUUCAAACAGGCAGUCAGGGGCUUGAGAGUCCCCAAGGUGACAGGACUCCACCAGACUGUGUUUUGGUCCCUGGUGCUGUGAGGAUUACAUUAUGAUACAGAGGGGACAAUCAAGGCGACCAUGGAAGGUAGACUUAUUAGGGCAGAUUACAGAUGGGAAGAAGUGACUUUCUAGGAGACAGGACUACCUUGAGCAAAGGCAUUAGGGCCGAAGCCCAAAGGACUCAUGGUGAGCAAGCACGUCCACCACGGUGAAGCCAGGACAUGGAGAGGUUAGAUAGCCAUGCUGAGAAGCUUGGGUUUUAUCCUGAAGUCCAAAGGGAGCCACCCAAAGGGUAGAUCAAUACUGGAGUUAUUCUGGGUGGCAGGAUGUGUGUGGCAGCUGCACAAGAAAGAGGAAAAUUUAGGUUGAAAGAUUAAAAGCUCUAUCAUGUCGAUCUCUGGCUCCCUACACACCUCAUGCAGGUCCUCUCUCAGCCCGGCCACGCCACGUUCCCAUUUCUGAUCAUCAGCUGCCUCCCCUGGCGAGUGGACUUCUCUCUCAGGUCUAAACUGAAGCACAACACCAGCCUCCUCUGCCCUUGGCUCCCCUGAAGGCUCACAAGAUCCUCUGUAGCUUCCACAUCCCUUCUUCCCUUCUGCUUAGAAAUCCAAGCAGUGCCACGCAGGUGGUCACACCCAUUUCAAGCCUCCUGGCUCUUGCUGCUCAUGCUUGAGGUAUGCUCUUGGUUGCAAGAAAACAUUUCUGCUCUCAUGUGUGGCAUUUUCUUGAUUGUGUAGCUUGGUGUCUGAAAUAAGUCCAUGGGUCUCUAAGCUAUUCUUUCAAAGCCACUUCUAAACUAGACAAAAUAAAUAAGCAGAACCCAA
Molecule: long non-coding RNA, 3081 nt
Organism: Cavia porcellus (domestic guinea pig)
Lineage: Eukaryota; Metazoa; Chordata; Mammalia; Rodentia; Caviidae
Exons: 2
Source: RefSeq, a predicted model, not a curated record